Molecule: ribosomal RNA, 403 nt
Filed under: uncultured bacterium
Lineage: Bacteria
Description: partial 16S ribosomal RNA
Rfam family: Bacterial small subunit ribosomal RNA
Source: RNAcentral
CAAGGAAUUUUGGGCAAUGGGCGAAAGCCUGACCCAGCAAUACCGCGUGAAGGAUGAAGAUUUUCGGAUUGUAAACUUCUUUUCUUGAGGAAGAAGAAUGACGGUACUCAAGGAAUAAGCCACGGCUAACUACGUGCCAGCAGCCGCGGUAAUACGUAGGUGGCGAGCGUUAUCCGGAUUUAUUGGGCGUAAAGAGAGCGUAGGCGGUUUAAUAAGUUGGAUGUGAAAUCUAUCGGCUUAACUGAUAGACUGCGUUCAAAACUGUUAGACUAGAGGAUAGCAGGGGCAAGCGGAAUUCCCGGAGUAGUGGUGGAAUGCAUAGAUACCGGGAGGAACACCAGAGGCGAAAGCGGCUUGCAAGGCUAUUUCUGACGCUGAGGCUCGAAAGCGUGGGGAGCAAACA